RNAcentral lists this ribosomal RNA (823 nucleotides) under Epicoccum sp. Its description in RNAcentral is "partial large subunit ribosomal RNA". It matches the Rfam family "Eukaryotic large subunit ribosomal RNA", at positions 78 to 919 of the family's 3401-position model. Lineage: Eukaryota; Fungi; Ascomycota; Dothideomycetes; Pleosporales; Didymellaceae. RNAcentral also lists the same sequence under 1 other name. The record is from RNAcentral.
CCCUAGUAACGGCGAGUGAAGCGGCAACAGCUCAAAUUUGAAAUCUGGCGUCUUUGGCGUCCGAGUUGUAAUUUGCAGAGGGCGCUUUGGCAUUGGCAGCGGUCCAAGUUCCUUGGAACAGGACGUCACAGAGGGUGAGAAUCCCGUACGUGGUCGCUAGCCUUUACCGUGUAAAGCCCCUUCGACGAGUCGAGUUGUUUGGGAAUGCAGCUCUAAAUGGGAGGUAAAUUUCUUCUAAAGCUAAAUACUGGCCAGAGACCGAUAGCGCACAAGUAGAGUGAUCGAAAGAUGAAAAGCACUUUGGAAAGAGAGUUAAAAAGCACGUGAAAUUGUUGAAAGGGAAGCGCUUGCAGCCAGACUUGCCUGUAGUUGCUCAUCCGGGUUUUUACCCGGUGCACUCUUCUACGGGCAGGCCAGCAUCAGUUUGGGCGGUUGGAUAAAGGUCUCUGUCAUGUACCUCCUCUCGGGGAGAUCUUAUAGGGGAGACGACAUGCAACCAGCCUGGACUGAGGUCCGCGCAUCUGCUAGGAUGCUGGCGUAAUGGCUGUAAGCGGCCCGUCUUGAAACACGGACCAAGGAGUCUAACAUCUAUGCGAGUGUUUGGGUGUCAAGCCCGAACGCGUAAUGAAAGUGAACGGAGGUGGGAACCUUUCGGGGUGCACCAUCGACCGAUCCUGAUGUCUUCGGAUGGAUUUGAGUAAGAGCAUAGCUGUUGGGACCCGAAAGAUGGUGAACUAUGCUUGAAUAGGGUGAAGCCAGAGGAAACUCUGGUGGAGGCUCGCAGCGGUUCUGACGUGCAAAUCGAUCGUCAAAUUUGGGCAUA